UGGCAGCUGUGUUCUGUGUCGGCAUGGUAUCAGGGUUCUGAGAUUUCUUCUCCUUCCUUCAUCCCCAGGAAGCCCGGCAGCAGCAGCAGCAGCAAAAGCAGCCAAAUACGGAGCAGCUGGUGUGGGAGGCGCAGUGCCCGGAGUUGGCGGCGUCCCUGGUUUGGUGCCCGGUGUCGGUGGUAUCCCUGGUUUGGUGCCCGGUGUCGGUGGCGUCCCUGGUUUGGUGCCCGGAGUCGGCGGCGUUGGAGCUGGAGUCCCAGCAGGAGCAGCAGCAGCUAAAGCAGCAGCUAAAGCAGC
Non-coding RNA from Pelodiscus sinensis (Chinese soft-shelled turtle), 297 nucleotides. NCBI's taxonomy places the organism in Eukaryota, Metazoa, Chordata, Testudines, Trionychidae. The record is from RefSeq and is a predicted model, not a curated record.